UGCCCCAUAGUCUAGGAUACCACUUGGAAACAGGUGCUAAUACCGGAUAAGAAAGCAGAUCGCAUGAUCAGCUUUUAAAAGGCGGCGUAAGCUGUCGCUAUGGGAUGGCCCCGCGGUGCAUUAGCUAGUUGGUAAGGUAAAGGCUUACCAAGGCGAUGAUGCAUAGCCGAGUUGAGAGACUGAUCGGCCACAUUGGGACUGAGACACGGCCCAAACUCCUACGGGAGGCAGCAGUAGGGAAUCUUCCACAAUGGACGCAAGUCUGAUGGAGCAACGCCGCGUGAGUGAAGAAGGUUUUCGGAUCGUAAAGCUCUGUUGUUGGUGAAGAAGGAUAGAGGUAGUAACUGGCCUUUAUUUGACGGUAAUCAACCAGAAAGUCACGGCUAACUACGUGCCAGCAGCCGCGGUAAUACGUAUGUGGCAAGCGUUGUCCGGAUUUAUUGGGCGUAAAGCGGAGCGCAGGCGGAAGAAUAAGUCUGAUGUGAAAAGCCCUCGGCUUAACCGAGGAACUGCAUCGGAAACUGUUUUUCUUGAGUG
This 537-nucleotide ribosomal RNA is filed under the name uncultured bacterium. Its description in RNAcentral is "bacterial SSU rRNA". It matches the Rfam family "Bacterial small subunit ribosomal RNA", at positions 127 to 648 of the family's 1533-position model. The record is from RNAcentral.